RNAcentral lists this ribosomal RNA (270 nucleotides) under uncultured Sulfurihydrogenibium sp. Its description in RNAcentral is "partial 16S ribosomal RNA". It matches the Rfam family "Bacterial small subunit ribosomal RNA", at positions 1042 to 1312 of the family's 1533-position model. Lineage: Bacteria; Pseudomonadati; Aquificota; Aquificia; Aquificales; Hydrogenothermaceae. The record is from RNAcentral.
GUUAUGGCUGUCGUCAGCUCGUGUCGUGAGAUGUUGGGUUAAGUCCCGCAACGAGCGUAACCCUUGUCCUGUGUUACCAGCGGGUAAUGCCGGGUACUCACAGGAGACUGCCGGCGAUAAGCCGGAGGAAGGAGGGGAUGACGUCAGAUCAGUAUGCCCUUUAUGCCCUGGGCUACACAGGCGCUACAGUGGCAGGGACAAUGGGCUGCAACGCUGUAAGGCGGAGCUAAUCCCGUAAACCCUGUCGUGGUGCAGAUUGAGGGUGCAACU